AGAUUGAACGCUGGCGGCAGGCCUAACAACAUGCAAGUCGAGCGGCAGCACGGGUACUUGUACCUGGCGGCGAGCGGCGGACGGGGUGGAGUAAUGCCUAGGAAUCUGCCUGGUAGGUGGGGGGAUAACGCUCGGAAACGGACGCUAAUACCGCAUACGUCCUACGGGAGGAAAAGACAGGGGACCUUCGGGCCUUGCGCUAUCAGAUAGAACCUAGGUCGGAUUAGCUAGUUGGUGGAAGGUAAUGGCUCACCAAGGCGACGAUCCGUAACUUGGUCUGAGAGGAUGAUCAGUCACACUGGAACUGAAGACACGGUCCCAGACCUCCGUACGGGAGGCAGCAGGUGGGGGAAUA
This 355-nucleotide ribosomal RNA is filed under the name uncultured soil bacterium. Its description in RNAcentral is "bacterial SSU rRNA". It matches the Rfam family "Bacterial small subunit ribosomal RNA", at positions 26 to 363 of the family's 1533-position model. The record is from RNAcentral.